GGUAACCUGGACAGGUCACACACACCCUUCUCCGGGUUUCCUUAAGCCUCAGUUUCUCCCUCUGUAAAAUGAUAGGUGGACCUGAUGAUCUCCAGAGCCUCUCCCACUUUGAACCAUCUAGGGUCUUAUGGUCCUGAGCCGAGAAGGGCUUCCUGUCUAGGCGGAGGAAGAAAAGUAGAGAGAUCUAGACCCAGAAGGAGGGACGGGGGUGGAACUGGACAGUCCCAGGACAGUUGACCUCUGUUCACCACUUACAUCCUAACGAAUAACCGACCAGCUUUGAUUUUGUAGAACUCAAGAGCCGGCUGGUUUGGUGCAUUAGUGAACUCUGGAAGGACAGAAACUCCAGGAACCUAUUACCUUAAGGAGCCCCGGACACACCUUGGUUGCAUAACCCAGCCGCAGCAGCCUGCAGGGCUGGGCGCUCCCGCUGCUGACGCCGCAGUGGGCUGGGCUGCAGGGGGGAGGAGGGGCUGGCUGCCGGGGAGGCUGGGCUGGGUGGCUGCUGGAGGAGCCCAGGGAAGAGCUAGGGGCAGGGCGUGCCUUUCCAGCUCGCCUCAGAACUGAAGGAGGCAGAGGUGUCCUGUCCGGGGUUGUGCACUGUGGCCAGCGGGGAGCAGCAAAAACCUGGUAAAACCUUGGGAGAGGAGAGAAUGACCCAAGCUAGAAACAGAGAUGCUGCUAGAACUCGGGAUGCCCAGGAGUUCAGGGGUCUUGGGCACAAAUUCCAGGCCUCUCCUACCCAAGCAAGUUACUGAUUUUCGCCAAACCUAUUUCUAAAAUAGAUAUAAUAAAAACGACCUUUUAGCUUUUGCCAGGAUCAAACGCAUAUAAACUCAUCAUGCAGAUA
Long non-coding RNA from Leopardus geoffroyi (Geoffroy's cat), 850 nucleotides. RefSeq lists it as uncharacterized. The transcript is spliced from 2 exons. The record is from RefSeq and is a predicted model, not a curated record. NCBI's taxonomy places the organism in Eukaryota, Metazoa, Chordata, Mammalia, Carnivora, Felidae.